UGGAUCUUGUAGACUCCGUUGACGAGUUUACAUGUGAAUUGGCACAAAAUACCCCUCAGCAAAGUAACGGUGGUGACUGUGGCAUAUUUACACUCAAGACCAUCGAAUUCUUACAUGCUAGAUUACCAUUGACAUUCACACAAGAUAACAUGGAGUUCUUUAGGAAGAAGUAUGCAUAUGAGGUUUACAACAAAGAACUUAGCAUAUGAGCUGCGUGGUGAUGCUUUUUUCUUUCCUUUUUUCAUGUUUAUAGAUGCAUAUUAUUUAUUAUAUUUGACUUUUAAUUGUAAAUAUAAUGGUGGCUUAUAAUGUUCAUUUAACAAAGAUAACAAUGUGGUAUUGAUGUAAUGAUAAGUAAUUGACCUUAUAGGAAAUGUGCCAUGUUUAUUUA
Ziziphus jujuba (common jujube) is the source of this 391-nucleotide long non-coding RNA. RefSeq lists it as uncharacterized. Lineage: Eukaryota; Viridiplantae; Streptophyta; Magnoliopsida; Rosales; Rhamnaceae. The transcript is spliced from 2 exons. The record is from RefSeq and is a predicted model, not a curated record.